ACUCUCAGUAGAUGACUUAACUCGGUUUCCGCCAUGUUGAAUUCGUAAACGCGAGUGUAUAUGUGUUAUUUGUUUGUGUUUAUUGCCAUACAAACAGUUACAAAGACAUUUUCUGAUACAAAACAUAUAUUCUGAGUAAAAACUUUAAAGGUGGAGAAUUUCAUUACAAUUAGUUCUCAAUGCAUAAUGAUAUUAGAACUGAAAAGUGUCAGACCAUAGACAGAAAUAUGAUCGGUGUACUUUUAUGCUGUAUGAUGAAAAUUGUUGAGUACUCUACUGGAAAACCCCAAGAGAGGAAGAAAGCAAAACCCCCCGGAAGAUAUAGACGCUAUAAAAAGAAGAAAGGAAGGGGCAUGAGUGAACUGGGUGUAGUUCGAUCUAGUCCUGACUCAGACUGCAACAGUAACCUCAAAGGCUCAUGUCUCAGUACUACUUCAUCACAGGACGUGGAUUUCAUUCAAGACAACUCGGACUACCAAUGGUUUUUAGAUUACGGAUAUCGAGAUGGAGGUUCGAAUCACCAUACUAGUAUAUUAUCAUUACCGGAAACAUACGAUGCAGGCGACAACUAUUACGAGGCUUUGGCCAAAAACAUGGACGCUAAUCUUGCUGAAGCUGACAUGGAAAGUUUUAAAACCGAGGAUAUACGAGAUUUGCUAACUAACUUGCCUCCCAUGUGUACGGAUCAUUUAAGUCAGGAAACUAAUAGACAAGGCGAAUCGUAUGCCGAAGUUUCUGGUUCUAUGAUGGGAAAGUUUGAUUUAGAUAGUUUUAUCAGUCCACAUAGUAGUUCACAGGGAGAAGAUUGUUCGGCAAAUUCAAAUUCUAUGUCUAUCUGUAAAUCGGAGCUUCUUUUUAGUCCAGUAAGGGAAUGUCCUAUGCCUGGUGCAAAUUUUUCAGUAGAUUCAUUGGAUUGUGACCUCCAUGAUAUGAUGCUAACAUGUCAAGCUAACAAAGAUAAUUAUACUAUUGCAUUUGAAGGAUCAGUUACCAUGUACAGUGAAGAUAGUGAUUUUCACGAAACAGAUAAGAGUUCCAACACAAAUACCAAUCAGUCCGGUAGUGUAAUCUUGGAUUUAAAAAUACAAAAGCAGAAUUUGAAUAAACUGGUAGAUGGUUCUAUGACACAAUCAGAUUCAAGUAGUUUUACAACUUGGAGUAAACUAAAGAAACAAAAUAGCGAGAAUCAUAUAAGGAGGCCUUCAGGAAAUAAUAAUGAUUCAGAAGAGGAAACAAGUCAUUUAGCCCUGAGUGAUACCAAUUUAAAAAGUCAAAGUAUGCCUAAUUUAUACAAACAAAAAUUAAAGAAUCUCAUCAAUAUAGGAACAAAAAGUGAUAGUAAUUCUUCCACCGAUACUACAAUUAAGAGACGUUCCGUUAAAGUUUUUGAUAUUCACCAUCAAACUCAAAAUACCAGCGGCAGUGGAUGGAUUUCAGAUAUGGCAACUUCAGUUGAUGCUAGCAGUUGCGAAAGUUCAAAUAAUAAACAACCAAAUUUUAGUUUAGUAAAGUUGUUCAUGAAGCAAAAGAGUCUUAGUCAAGAAGGCAUGUCAACUACAAUGGAUCAAUUAUCUUCAUCCGAAAACUGGCCAGGAAUCCAGUCAGUAGAGAGCUCUUUGUCUGACAAAAAUUAUGACCAUUCUAAAAAUCAUGAGUUUAACAGUGACCAAAAAAUUAGUGAUAGUAGUGUGCGAACAUAUGAUCUCAUAGCUGAAGAACCUGAAGAUUUAUUAUCUAAAAGCGAAUCAGUAGAACAACUUUCAGAGAGUAUUAGCAAGAUUGAAUCAGUCAAUGAAAGUUUUGAAAACGAGUCUAAAAAAUCGGAAAAUCUAAACAACAAUGACAGUUUUUCUGUUAAGAAGAGACCAAAGAUUUCAAGUCCUAGAAUGUUCUUAGGUACUAAAAGCGAACUUCUUGAUAGAAGUAUUCAGACAUCUCAAUUUUCUGAAAUAACAAAUCUUAAAAAUGCUACCAAAUCCUCCUUUUCAAAUACAAAACAGCGUGUUAAGCUAGUAGAACCGUCAUUUCUAAACACACUUAAAAAAGAGGGAGAAGUUCAGAAACCGGUUUAUGUUUUAUAUCCUAAUUAUGUUCUGCCAGAUCUUGGAUUUUUAAGUGACAAAAAUGAUAUUACAAAUAUGUUUCUGGUUCCCCAAAAAGCUCCACAAGUAUCGUUCGAUCGCAGAAGACCUUUUAGUUUCAAUGAUAUUGAAACGCUUAAGAGAAAUGGAUUUAGUCAUGUCAAAGACUGGGAUUCCUUAAACAUUCUUCUCCCUCAAGAAUAUCGAAAAAUUUUGUCAGAUGUACCAGAAUUAUCAAGUCACGUUAAAGUAAAUUUGAGAGAGAAACCGACGUUUAUGAGAUCUAAGAGGAGACCGAUGAGUUGUGAUAUGAAUAAUACAAACAUAUCAAGCAGUUCUAGUACUGCCACUCAACCUUCUAGUGGAUAUCGAGGAUCGUCAACAAUAUUAACUGAUUCGCAAAAUAGUCCUGUAUACCAAAACAAUCUUAACCCACUUUUUGUUUAUCGAUACGAUAGUGUAACAAGUUCAGAAGCAAGUCUCGUUAAUAGUGACAGACAAAAACACUGUAUAACAACCACACCUCCAUGUCUGCCUAAAUGUGUCAGUUUGCAGCAUCAAGAAAGUGUACCUAUACGGCCACCACUACCCAAGGGUAUUUUACGGAAAGCAGAUAUAAUUAAAAGAUAUAGUAUGUAUGAGACAAGUGAUGAUGAUCUUUUAAAUGAAGAAAUAUCAUCGAAAAGGAAAUCAUUACCGGAUACAUAUUACUUAACAAGAAACAAAAGAUUUUCCGAAACCGAAGAUGAAGGAGUUGAUGCAGGUACUUCCAGUAGCAGCUUAGACGAACAUCCGGAGUCAUUUUCAAACAAACCUGAUUAUCUUCUUCAAAAUAUAUCUAUGGAUGAACUAAUACAGCUAGAGGAGUUUUUAAAACUCAGCGGAUUUUCAUCAUCAGAAGAAGAAAAAGCCGAGGAGAGUCUGACUCAUUUAAAAUCCUAUGUUAGUAAAUUCUUAUCCUUAAAAAUUAAUCAAGAUGGAGCGGAUCAUUUCGGAGGAAAGAAAAGCGUCAGCUUCGCUGAAAAUAUCAAUGUGGCACCUAAACACUUUGAUACAAAACAUUUUAUUCCUCCUAACAAUUCACCUAAUGUUUCUGCCCUCUUACUGCAGAAGAACUUCCAACCUAAAGUUAUAGCUGACAUGACUAUUUGCGAAGAAAAUGAAAAUAGUCCAAAUUAUUCUAGUCCCCAAACUACACCAAUUCAUCUGUGUAAAGCACCAUCAGACAACUAUGUCCAAAAAAGAUCUCUAAUAAAUGGUGUUAUGGAAGCAGUUGAUCAAGUUAUGCAAUAUUUUUCACUAGCUUCAAAUCAACAGGAACUGAAUACUUUAGGAGACUCUAGUGUAAAUCCAGCAUGCGCAAAACUGGCUCUAACCACUUUAUGCCCUGCCCUGUAUGCUGUAUUAAGUGAUGGCUUAAAGCCUUUCCUAGACACAAGUUUUGGGGCAAUAAACAAUUCAGUAUGGCAGGUUGUAGAAGCUUCUGCACAACAGGGACCAUUAACAAAGGCAUUAAAUGAUCUUGUUAUGAAAAUUAAUAGUGAAGAUGUUAUUAGUGAAGGAUUGGUAAAAUUUAAUGCUUUUAUUUUUGGACUAUUAAAUGUAAGAUCGUUGGAUGCUUGGACAAGCUAUUUAAAAACAAGAGAAAGUAUCUUAAAGAAACAUUAUACAGCUGAUUCUUUGUUGGUUUUAUCACAUACUGGAGGAGCAAAUUUAAGGAACAUGUUGGAUGCCAUGAUAGCUGCUCUACAGCCUCUUGCUUUUCUACCAUUUCAGUUUGAUCUGCUUUUUGAAUAUAAACAGCUACAUUUAAGUUUCAAAAGAAUGGAUUCUUUCCAUCAACUGGUUAGUCCAACACAUAAGCAUGCGUCUUCUCCAAAUUACAAACAGUUCUUAUCCACAAAAUAUGGACUUAGCGUCUCGCCUCACAGCCGUUCAAAUUCUGAAUCAGACGACAUAUCAACAGCAACAACAGUUAAAAAUAAUUUCUACAGUGCCUGUCAUAAAGAUAUAUUAAGUUCGGAUAAUUCGGAAAAGCAUAAGAUGGAAAAAGAACGACCCAGAAGUUGCAUAGAAGACGGAAUAUUAACAAAUGCGCCGAAUUUUAAACUAGGCGAAGAUGUUAAUAUGGUAGCAAAAAAAAGGUGGUCUGGCAUUGCCCUAAACUCAAAGCUAUAUCAAGUGUAUGAUCGACUGGCGAAAGAAGACGAAGAUUACGUGGACAGCUUAGAAACACCGCCUUCUUCAAAGAAGACUGAACUUGAAAGAAAUGAAGCAAAAGAAAACCGUACUUGUGAACCAGAAUCAUUAGAUUCCAAUUUUUCCGAUGAAAAACCUUUAAAUGGUAAAAGAUUUAAGAAAUUACAACAAAGGUGGGAAAUGUUAAGUGGUAGGGAUUCUGAAGAAAGAGAUUCUCCUCCAUCAAGUCCAACCCACGCAAAUAAAUCAAAAAUACCUAGACCUAUAACUUCACCAGUAAAGCCAUCAGGAAUACCAGUUUUAGUUUCUCAUAAAAAAAUUACUUGUUCUCAAGCUAAUAAAAGCAUACCUGGUGUAAAAGGAAUUAAUACUAUUAAAAAUUCACCUGUCAAAAACAGCACACCAAGAGCGAGUCGCGUUGAUCAGGUUGAAAACGAACAAAUAAAACACAUUCCUAGGCCAAGUAGUCUACCUUACAAACCAACUUGUCAAAAUAAUAAAUCAUCCAAACCAGUGGUUCCAAGAAGAGCAGCAUCUAGUUCAUUAAAUAGGAAAUCUCUAGGAGAAAAUCCAAAGAGUGUGACGCCAAAUUUUCUGUAGACAGUAAUGAAAGCGGUCGAGAAAUGUGUUCCAUAAAUAAACAACCGAUAUGUAAGGGUUGUACGAACUGUAAGUCAUAGGCUGCCUUCAGAAAGUGGCCAUUUAUCAUAUAA
Molecule: unclassified non-coding RNA, 4993 nt
Filed under: Sitophilus oryzae (rice weevil)
Lineage: Eukaryota; Metazoa; Arthropoda; Insecta; Coleoptera; Curculionidae
Description: uncharacterized LOC115891308, transcript variant X5
Source: RNAcentral